UACGUAGGGUGCAAGCGUUAUCCGGCAUUAUUGGGCGUAAAGAGCUCGUAGGCGGUGUGUCACGUCGGCCGUGAAAACCUGCAGCUUAACUGUGGGCGUGCGGUCGAUACGGGCAUCACUGGAGUUCGGCAGGGGAGACUGGAAUUCCUGGUGUAGCGGUGAAAUGCGCAGAUAUCAGGAGGAACACCGGUGGCGAAGGCGGAUCUCUGGGCCUGUCCUGACGCUGAGGCGCGAAAGCUAGGGGAGCGAACAGG
Molecule: ribosomal RNA, 254 nt
Filed under: uncultured bacterium
Lineage: Bacteria
Description: partial 16S ribosomal RNA
Rfam family: Bacterial small subunit ribosomal RNA
Source: RNAcentral